AAAAUCCAACAUCUGAAUUCACAAAAUUUUAACUUUCAAGCUCUCGGCUUGAAAUUCAAUUAUGACACUUUUUGACCCGUUCGUGAUUUAUCAAACAAACUUGUUUAUUACCCUUUUCAAAAUAUCAUGCAUAUCACGUUAUAUCAGUUUACUAAUGUGCAAGGUUCAAAUUACGGGUUUCUUAUGAAUUCUUAACCCGUUUUACCUAUCUACUCCUUUUGACCCGUGAAGGGAAGUUAAACACUUUUAACUAUAAAUCUAUAUAUAAGCGUACCUGGCUCGGGUCAACGUAUAGACCCGUUUAUGCCUUGCUAUUAUUAAUUCAAUAUUCUAUGAUGACUUUGCGUCCGUUCGAGCUUUCCUUGCGCACUUGACCCGUUU
This 381-nucleotide long non-coding RNA is filed under the name Helianthus annuus (common sunflower). RNAcentral's name for it is "sRNA HanXRQr2_Chr04g0162361". Lineage: Eukaryota; Viridiplantae; Streptophyta; Magnoliopsida; Asterales; Asteraceae. The record is from RNAcentral.